Molecule: ribosomal RNA, 443 nt
Filed under: uncultured bacterium
Lineage: Bacteria
Description: partial 16S ribosomal RNA
Rfam family: Bacterial small subunit ribosomal RNA
Source: RNAcentral
CCUACGUGAGGCAGCAGUGGGGAAUAUUGCACAAUGGGGGAAACCCUGAUGCAGCAACGCCGCGUGAAGGAAGACGGUUUUCGGAUUGUAAACUUCUAUCAAUAGGGAAGAAAGACAUGACGGUCCCUCACUACUAAGCCCCGGCUACCUACGUGCCCGCAGCCGCGGUAAUACGUAGGGGGCAAGCGUUAUCCGGAAUUACUGGGUGUAAAGGGAGAGUAUGCGGCAAGGUAAGCGAUAUGUGAAAGCCUUAAGCUUAACUUAAGGAUGGCAUAACGAACUAUCUAGCUAGAGUACAGGAGAGGAAAGCGGAAUUCCUAGUGUAGCGGUGAAAUGCGUAGAUAUUAGGAAGAACACCAGUGGCGAAGGCGGCUUUCUGGACUGAAACUGACGCUGAGGCUCGAAAGCGUGGGGAGCGAACAGGAUUAGAUACCCCAGUAGUC